GAUGAACGCUGGCGGCGUGCCUAAUACAUGCAAGUCGAGCGGACGGACGAGAAGCUUACUUCUCUGUUGUUAGCGGCGGGCGGGAGAGUAACACGUGGAUCACCUACCUAUAAGACUGGGAUAACUUCGAGACACCGUAGCUUAUCCCGUAUAAUCUUUUGAUCCGCGUGGUUCAAAAGUGAGAGACGGUCUUGCUGUCACUUCUCGAUGGAUCCGCGCUGCAUUAGCUAGUUGGUAAGGUAACGGCUUACCAAGGCAACGAGGCAUAACCGACCUGUGAGGGUGAUCGCCGACACUGGAGCUGAGACGCGGACCAGAGUCCUACGGGAGGCAGCAGUAGCGAAUGGGCCGCAACAGGCGAAAGUCUGACGGAGCAAGCCCGCGUGAGUUAUGGAGGUCCUCCGAGCGUAAUACUCUGCUACGAGUUAUGAACAGAUGUGUAAGGAGACGUGGACAUCGUGACGGUACUGAAUCAGAAAGCCACGGCUAACUACGUG
This 497-nucleotide ribosomal RNA is filed under the name uncultured bacterium. Its description in RNAcentral is "partial 16S ribosomal RNA". It matches the Rfam family "Bacterial small subunit ribosomal RNA", at positions 28 to 507 of the family's 1533-position model. The record is from RNAcentral.